GCAGCCUGAUCCAGCAAUGCCGCGUGUGUGAAGAAGGCCUUCGGGUUGUAAAGCACUUUUGUCCGGAAAGAAAACCUCGUGGUUAAUACCCGUGGGGGAUGACGGUACCGGAAGAAUAAGCACCGGCUAACUACGUGCCAGCAGCCGCGGUAAUACGUAGGGUGCAAGCGUUAAUCGGAAUUACUGGGCGUAAAGCGUGCGCAGGCGGUUCGCUAAGACAGAUGUGAAAUCCCCGGGCUUAACCUGGGAACUGCAUUUGUGACUGGCGGGCUAGAGUAUGGCAGAGGGGGGUAGAAUUCCACGUGUAGCAGUGAAAUGCGUAGAGAUGUGGAGGAAUACCGAUGGCGAAGGCAGCCCCCUGGGCCAAUACUGACGCUCAUGCACGAAAGCGUGGGGAGCAAACAGGAUUAGAUACCCUGGUAGUCCACGCCCUAAACGAUGUCAACUAGUUGUCGGGUCUUCAUUGACUUGGUAACGUAGCUAACGCGUGAAGUUGACCGCCUGGGGAGUACGGUCGCAAGAUUAAAACUCAAAGGAAUUGACGGGGACCCGCACAAGCGGUGGAUGAUGUGGAUUAAUUCGAUGCAACGCGAAAAACCUUACCUACCCUUGACAUGUAUGGAACCCUGCUGAGAG
RNAcentral lists this ribosomal RNA (636 nucleotides) under Burkholderia sp. IBb340. RNAcentral's name for it is "bacterial SSU rRNA". It matches the Rfam family "Bacterial small subunit ribosomal RNA", at positions 378 to 1007 of the family's 1533-position model. The record is from RNAcentral. Lineage: Bacteria; Pseudomonadati; Pseudomonadota; Betaproteobacteria; Burkholderiales; Burkholderiaceae.